AACCAUGCUAGUCGACGGUGAAGCAGAGCUUGCUCUGUGGAUCAGUGGCGAACGGGUGAGUAACACGUGAGCAACCUGCCCCUGACUCUGGGAUAAGCGCUGGAAACGGCGUCUAAUACUGGAUAUGAGCUGCGAUCGCAUGGUCAGCAGUUGGAAAGAUUUUUCGGUCUGGGAUGGGCUCACGGCCUAUCAGCUUGUUGGUGAGGUAAUGGCUCACCAAGGCGUCGACGGGUAGCCGGCCUGAGAGGGUGACCGGCCACACUGGGACUGAGACACGGCCCAGACUCCUACGGGAGGCAGCAGUGGGGAAUAUUGCACAAUGGGCGAAAGCCUGAUGCAGCAACGCCGCGUGAGGGAUGACGGCCUNCGGGUUGUAAACCUCUUUUAGCAGGGAAGAAGCGAAAUGACSGUACCUGCAGAAAAAACCGCCGGCUAACUAACGUGCCAGCAGCCGCGGGUAAUACGUAGGGCGCAAAGCGUUAUCCGGAAUUAUUGGGCGUAAAGACCUCGUAGCGGUUUGUCCCGUUUGUGUGAAUCCCAAGGUCACCUCCGGGCUGCAA
RNAcentral lists this ribosomal RNA (560 nucleotides) under Microbacterium imperiale. RNAcentral's name for it is "bacterial SSU rRNA". It matches the Rfam family "Bacterial small subunit ribosomal RNA", at positions 51 to 626 of the family's 1533-position model. Lineage: Bacteria; Bacillati; Actinomycetota; Actinomycetes; Micrococcales; Microbacteriaceae. The record is from RNAcentral.